Molecule: ribosomal RNA, 445 nt
Filed under: uncultured bacterium
Lineage: Bacteria
Description: partial 16S ribosomal RNA
Rfam family: Bacterial small subunit ribosomal RNA
Source: RNAcentral
GUGAGGAAUAUUGGUCAAUGGGCGGGAGCCUGAACCAGCCAAGUCGCGUGAAGGAAGAAGGAUCUAUGGUUCGUAAACUUCUUUUGCAGGGGAAUAAAGUGCGGGACGUGUCCUGUUUUGUAUGUACCCUGAGAAUAAGGAUCGGCUAACUCCGUGCCAGCAGCCGCGGUAAUACGGAGGAUCCGAGCGUUAUCCGGAUUUAUUGGGUUUAAAGGGUGCGUAGGUGGUUUGAUAAGUCAGCGGUGAAAGUUUGCAGCUUAACUAUAAAAAUGCCGUUGAAACUGUCGGACUUGAGUGUAAAUGAGGUAGGCGGAAUGCGUGGUGUAGCGGUGAAAUGCAUAGAUAUCACGCAGAACUCCGAUUGCGAAGGCAGCUUACUAAGCUACAACUGACACUGAAGCACGAAAGCGUGGGGAUCAAACAGGAUUAGAUACCCCAGUAGUCC